RNAcentral lists this transfer RNA (70 nucleotides) under Anolis nubilus. RNAcentral's name for it is "tRNA-Ala". Lineage: Eukaryota; Metazoa; Chordata; Lepidosauria; Squamata; Anolidae. The record is from RNAcentral.
UAAGACCUGAAAAACUUUAAUUUUCAUCUUCUGAAUGCAACUCAAACACCUUAAUUAGGCCAAGGCCCUC